AAAAUAUCUAUCCUCCCUCUAAGCCUAGGUAGAAAACUAAGUUAUAAGACAAGGAUGAACACGAUAUAUGGUACUUUUUAAAAUCUGGUUCCCAAAGAAAUAAAACAUUUUAAAAAGAAUUUUAAAAUAAUGUAUUUAGCUUAUGCUGAGUAUAUAUUAGUGAGCAACUAAUUUAAAAAUAUUUAAGGAAUAAUAGUCCCCUCUGUUAUAAUAAAUUACUAUUGACCCAAUUUAUUUAUUAAGCUUCUCUUCUUAUUUGGGUAAUUAAUUCUAAGAAUUAGAACUUGUUACACUAGUAAAUAUACUUUUAUUAUUUUCUUACUUAAAUAAGUUUUAUCAAUUUUAAAUUAAAUAUAAACUAAAUAACUUGAGAUUCUCCAAACUGUUUAACAAAGACAUAGUAAGACUGUGUCUUAUGUAUCUGCCCAAUGAAUAAUUUUUUAUGGCUUUAAAGUAGCGCAAUAAUUAGUUUAUUAAUUGUAAACCUGUAUGAAGCUAGCAUUGGUUAAUCAUGUUUAUUCUUAUCUGUUGAAUCUUAGUUAUCAGUACAAACGCUGAUAUGCUCCCCGAAGACGAUAAGACCCUAAGACCUUCACCUUGUUUGGCUGGGAUAGCCUACUUAAUAUAAUAAAGAAACCUUAAUUAUUACGAACCAAUUAUUUUGCUAUACAUAGGUACCUUAGGGAUAACAGCGCGUAAUACUUUUAGAGCUCUUAUUUAAAAGAUAUUCGUGACCUCGAUGUUGAAUUAAGUAAUAUAGUGCUGCAGAAGGUGCUAUUUUAAGUCUGUUCGACU
RNAcentral lists this ribosomal RNA (795 nucleotides) under Lepeophtheirus salmonis (salmon louse). RNAcentral describes it as "partial 16S ribosomal RNA". Lineage: Eukaryota; Metazoa; Arthropoda; Copepoda; Siphonostomatoida; Caligidae. The record is from RNAcentral.